AGUGAACGCUGGCGGUAGGCCUAACACAUGCAAGUCGAACGGCAGCACAGUAAGAGCUUGCUCUUACGGGUGGCGAGUGGCGGACGGGUGAGGAAUACAUCGGAAUCUACUUUUUCGUGGGGGAUAACGUAGGGAAACUUACGCUAAUACCGCAUACGACCUACGGGUGAAAGCAGGGGAUCUUCGGACCUUGCGCGAUUGAAUGAGCCGAUGUCGGAUUAGCUAGUUGGCGGGGUAAAGGCCCACCAAGGCGACGAUCCGUAGCUGGUCUGAGAGGAUGAUCAGACACACUGGAACUGAGACACGGUCAAGACUCCUACGGGAGGCCGCAGUGGGGAAUAUUGGACAAUGGGCGCAGGCCUAAUCCAGCCAUACCGCGUGGGUGAAGAAGGCCUUCGGGUUGUAAAGCCCUUUUGUUGGGAAAGAAAAGCAGCAGGUUAAUACCCCGCUGUUCUGACGGUACCCAAAGAAUAAGCACCGGCUAACUUCGUG
RNAcentral lists this ribosomal RNA (492 nucleotides) under uncultured bacterium. RNAcentral describes it as "partial 16S ribosomal RNA". It matches the Rfam family "Bacterial small subunit ribosomal RNA", at positions 29 to 507 of the family's 1533-position model. The record is from RNAcentral.